GACACUUUGGCCGAGUGGACUAAGGCGCGAGACUCGAAUACGGUUUCUACUGUAUCUGGAUAUCUCGUAUCUUCGGAUGCGCAAGUUCGAAUCUUGCAGGUGUCG
Aspergillus cristatus is the source of this 105-nucleotide transfer RNA. It matches the Rfam family "tRNA". From Rfam's summary of the family: Transfer RNA (tRNA) molecules are approximately 80 nucleotides in length. Their secondary structure includes four short double-helical elements and three loops (D, anti-codon, and T loops). Further hydrogen bonds mediate the characteristic L-shaped molecular structure. tRNAs have two regions of fundamental functional importance: the anti-codon, which is responsible for specific mRNA codon recognition, and the 3' end, to which the tRNAs corresponding amino acid is attached (by aminoacyl-tRNA synthetases). tRNAs cope with the degeneracy of the genetic code in two manners: having more than one tRNA (with a specific anti-codon) for a particular amino acid; and 'wobble' base-pairing, i.e. permitting non-standard base-pairing at the 3rd anti-codon position. NCBI's taxonomy places the organism in Eukaryota, Fungi, Ascomycota, Eurotiomycetes, Eurotiales, Aspergillaceae. The record is from Rfam.